Molecule: non-coding RNA, 220 nt
Organism: Pelobates cultripes (western spadefoot toad)
Lineage: Eukaryota; Metazoa; Chordata; Amphibia; Anura; Pelobatidae
Source: the annotation of a GenBank genome assembly
UGAAAACGUAUGCAAACAAAGUAUCUACAGCCUAGUUUUCUUUUUACAUUUCUAAAACAACUCCAGGUACAUAGCAAGUCACAAUGAUUUUAAACAAAUUACAAAAUUAGCAGCCAAUCAGCUGCAUGCUUAGCUAUAUGCCCCUCUAAAUAGAACAUAUAAAUUAAUGUCUCUUUACACUUGUCUCUGUCUCAUGUCUCUUUACACUUUCAAAAGUCCA